GUGGGGAAUAUUGGUCAAUGGGCGGAAGCCUGAACCAGCCAUCCCGCGUGGAGGAAGACGGCCCUAUGGGUUGUAAACUUCUUUUCAAGGGGAAGAAAGUUCGCGACGUGUCGCGAUUUGCCGGUACCUUUGGAAUAAGCAUCGGCUAACUCCGUGCCAGCAGCCGCGGUAAUACGGAGGAUGCGAGCGUUAUCCGGAUUUAUUGGGUUUAAAGGGUGCGUAGGCCGAUCGAUAAGUCAGCGGUGAAAUACCAUGGCCCAACCAUGGAACUGCCGUUGAUACUGUCGGUCUUGAAUAUGGUCAAGGUAGGCGGAAUGUGUAAUGUAGCGGUGAAAUGCUUAGAUAUUACACAGAACACCGAUUGCGAAGGCAGCUUACUGGUCCAUUAUUGACGCUGAGGCACGAAAGCGUGGGGAUCGAACAGGAUUAGAAACCCCGGUAGUCC
RNAcentral lists this ribosomal RNA (445 nucleotides) under uncultured bacterium. RNAcentral describes it as "partial 16S ribosomal RNA". It matches the Rfam family "Bacterial small subunit ribosomal RNA", at positions 354 to 796 of the family's 1533-position model. The record is from RNAcentral.